This 468-nucleotide ribosomal RNA is filed under the name uncultured bacterium. RNAcentral describes it as "partial 16S ribosomal RNA". It matches the Rfam family "Bacterial small subunit ribosomal RNA", at positions 28 to 507 of the family's 1533-position model. The record is from RNAcentral.
GACGAACGCUGGCGGCGUGCUUAACACAUGCCAGUCGAACGGAAAGACCCUGCGCUUGUGCCGUGCUCGAGUGGCGAACGGGUGUGUGACACGUGUGUAACCUGCACCUAUCUUUCGGAUAACUUCACGGAACUGGGGCUCAUACCGGAUAGAAUCUCUUGCACCAUGGUGGGGGUUGGAAAGAUUCGGCGGUUGGGGAUGGACUAGCGGCUUAUCAGCUUGUUGGUGGGGUAGUGGCUUACCAAGGCUUUGACGGGUAGCCGGCCUGGGAGGGUGACCGGCGACAUUGGGACUGAGAGACGGCCCAGACUCGUACGGGAGGCAGCAGGGGGGAACAUUGCAGAACGGGCGGAAGUGUGAUGCAGCAACGCCGCGUGCGGGAUGACGGCCUUCGGGUUGUAAACCGCUUUCGCCUGUGACGAAGCGUGAGUGACGGUAACGGGUAAAGAAGCACCGGCUAACUACGUG